This 1329-nucleotide long non-coding RNA is filed under the name Homo sapiens (human). RNAcentral describes it as "non-protein coding lnc-C15orf61-2:1". The record is from RNAcentral. Lineage: Eukaryota; Metazoa; Chordata; Mammalia; Primates; Hominidae.
GCCCUCAGGAGUAGGUGCAAAGGCCCCGAGGCAGGAGCACGUUUGAUGUAAUGGUCUUUGGCCUGAUUGAAAUAGGUCAGUACCUUUGUAAGUUUUGAAUUAUAUGUUUCCCUGCCCUAGAAGUGGACGCCACAGAGGAAACAUCAUUAAAGUCUCUGUUCUCCCUGCUGUCAUGUCUAAGUCAGAGUCUCCUAAAGAGCCUGAAAUCACCUAAGAGAUUAUUUUGAAUAAUAUGGAAAAAUUGAAGUGAUUGAAAUCAUGACUGACCAAGGCAGUGGCAAGAAAAGGGGCUUUGCCUUUAUAACCUUUGACGACCAUGACUCUGUGGAUAAGACUGUCAUUCAGAAAUAACCAUACUGUGAAUGGCCACAACGGUGAAGUUAGGAAAGCCCUGUUAAAGCAAGAGAUGGCUAAUGCUUCAGCGCAGUGGCAGAAGAUUUUAAUUAUUGCCAGGAAACAAAGCGUAGCAAAAGAGGAGAGCUAGAGAAGUGACGGGGAAGCUACAGGUUACAACAGAUUUGUGAACUCAGCCAAGCACGGUGGUGGCAGGGCCUAGCUGCUACAAAGAAGACAUGUUUUAGACAAAUACUCAUGUGAAUGGGCAAAAACUUGAGGACUGUAUUUGUCUAAUUGUAUAACAGGUUAUUUUAGUUCCUGUUCCAUGGAAAGUUUAAAGCAUUCCAACAAAGUGAUCUAAUGUAGAUUUUUUUUUUUGCACCAUGCUGUUGAUUGCUAAAUGCAAUAGUCUGAUCAUGAUGCUGAAUAAAUGUCUUUUUUAAAAAAAUAUUUGUCAGAGCAACCAAAUUUUCUGCUAAACAGCAGAAAAUGAUGUUUCCAUGUUGGCAGUAGUGGAUUAUGUAAAUUUUGGUUUUAUUUUUGUUUUAAGAAAGGGGAAGUUUAGGGGCUCAUUAAAUAUGUUUUACAACUGGGCAGGUGAAGAUGAGGAAUUCCUGAGGCACUGACUUCUGUUCCCCAUUUUCCCUAUGCCAUUCCUAUCCUAACACUUACCAGAUGAGAGGAAGAGCCGUCUGAUCUUAGCUAGUGUAUAAAAUCCUCUAUAGGGCAAGAUUUUUAGUUCUUCGAAACUUACUUACUUCCUUAUAUUAAUAUUUUUAUGGGCUUGCAAUAACAAUGCUUGUUUAUGUUAUGUGGUUUAUUUUGAAAUUUUUAUUGUAUAAAAAUGUGUUGCAGAUUGCUUCUAAAUAAUGUUCAGAAUAUCUAGUCCCCACAGUAUAUGUGUAAAGGCCACAUUUCAUUUAAACAUAAAAGGUACGGUGGCUCACUCCUGUAAUCCUAGCACUUUCGUAGACUGAGGUGGGAGCAUCACUU